This 168-nucleotide ribosomal RNA is filed under the name uncultured bacterium. RNAcentral's name for it is "partial 16S ribosomal RNA". It matches the Rfam family "Bacterial small subunit ribosomal RNA", at positions 339 to 524 of the family's 1533-position model. The record is from RNAcentral.
CUACGGGAGGCAGCAGUGGGGAAUAUUGCACAAUGGGCGCAAGCCUGAUGCAGCCAUGCCGCGUGAGUGAAGAAGGCCUUAGGGUUGUAAAACUCUUUCACCGGUGAAGAUAAUGACGGUAGCCGGAGAAGAAGCCCCGGCCAACUCCGUGCCAGCAGCCGCGGUAAU